CAUGCCGCGUGAGNUGAAGAAGGCCUUCGGGUUGUAAAGCUCUUUUGUCAGGGAAGAAACACCAGGCUCUAACACAGUUCCGGAAAAUGACGCGUACCUUGAAGAAUAAGCACCGGCUAACUACGUGCCAGCAGCCGCGGUAAUACGUAAGGUGCGAGCGUUAAUCGGAAUUACUGGGCGUAAAGCGUGCGCAGGCGGUUAUACAAGACAGGCGUGAAAUCCCCGGGCUUAACCUGGGAAUGGCGCCUGUGACUGUAUAGCUAGAGUGUGUCAGAGGGGGGUAGAAUUCCACGUGUAGCAGUGAAAUGCGUAGAUAUGUGGAGGAAUACCAAUGGCGAAGGCAGCCCCCUGGGAUAACACUGACGCUCAUGCACGAAAGCGUGGGGAGCAAACAGGAUUAGAUACCCUGGUAGUCCACGCCCUAAACGAUGCUGACUAGUUGUUCGGGAUUUACAUCCUGAGUAACGUAGCUCACGCGUGAAGUCAGCCGCCUGGGGAGUACGGUCGCAAGAUUAAAACUCAAAGAAAUUGACGGG
Molecule: ribosomal RNA, 536 nt
Filed under: uncultured bacterium
Lineage: Bacteria
Description: bacterial SSU rRNA
Rfam family: Bacterial small subunit ribosomal RNA
Source: RNAcentral